Molecule: ribosomal RNA, 599 nt
Filed under: Pristepyris minutus
Lineage: Eukaryota; Metazoa; Arthropoda; Insecta; Hymenoptera; Bethylidae
Description: partial 28S ribosomal RNA
Source: RNAcentral
AAACCUGAGGAACCCAAAAGAUCGAAUGGGGAGAUUCAUCGUCAGCGGCGCUGGCUUCACGGUGGCUCGUGAUGUCGCGUGGCUUCGGUCACGCGGUACGCGGCCAUCGCGUUGAGUCCGGCGUCGGCGUGCACUUCUCCCCUAGUAGGACGUCGCGACCCGUUGGGUGUCGAUCUACGGCCCGGGUGGGUGUCUGUCGUGUCUCGAUUUAUUCGUACGCGACAAACCCCCGGUCGCCAGAUCGGCUGCUCGGCGGUACUCGCAUGGUAUCGGGCCGCAAUUCUCGAACUGCGUCGGGCCCGUCGCAAGCGCGGUCAGUUAGUCGCGGAGGUACGGACCUAGCGCCGUCCCCGUGCCUGGCCAGCUGUUGGCAGACGGUGACCUCUGACUGGCCAAAAGAUACCGGUCGGCGACGCUACUGCUUUGGGUAAUCUCAGGACCCGUCUUGAAACACGGACCAAGGAGUCUAACAUGUGCGCGAGUCAUUGGGACAGCAUGCCUAAAGGCGAAAUGAAAGUGAAGGUAGGCCUAGCGCCGACCGAGGGAGGAUGGGCCGCGUUACGAUGCGGCUCCGCACUCCCGGGGUGUCUCGUUCUCAU